RNAcentral lists this long non-coding RNA (44050 nucleotides) under Capsicum annuum. RNAcentral describes it as "long non-coding RNA (CANN_LNC003952)". Lineage: Eukaryota; Viridiplantae; Streptophyta; Magnoliopsida; Solanales; Solanaceae. The record is from RNAcentral.
UCCUUCUCUGCCUCUCUUCUCUUUUUCCCUGCCGUGCGGUGCAUUGCUGAAACCAAAAACUUAUUCAAUUCUAAAUCAAACACUUGGAGAAAUCCCAGUGAACUAUUGUCUCUUCUCGUUUUCUCUCUUUCUCCACAAGGACGCCGAUCUGAUGUAAUAAAGCUCUCGAUAUAUAUAUAAUGGGUUUGGUGUAUUCUCUUUUUUUUUUUCAGAAAAGUAAAAGAAAAAUCGAAAGAAAUCCAGAAUUCCAAGAGUAGUGGAGAAUUAUUUUACACCUCAAAUUACUUGAGAAAUUUAAUCUACACCAACAUACUUACUAUACAUACAAGUACCUACUUUAACUACUCCUUAACCACCCACUAAUUUCUUCUCUCUAUAUAAAAUAUUGAGACGCCAGUCAGUCAAUUAAUAUUCUUUUCGAUUAGUCAACUUUCUUGAAUACAUUUUACACCAGUUAUCAAUCAAUAUUCUUCUAUAAUAUCUUCUAAGUUUCUAUUCAACCCCACAGAAUUAUACUAUGUCAAGUAUGUUGAGUUCACAAGGCUUUGUAUUGGCGACAGCCAUGGCGGUCUCUGCCGGCACCGUGAUUUUAUUCGAUCUUUUCCGGGUCAAGUACUUCCCGUCGAUCCAUCUUUCCGAUCAACAAGACUACCCACAUGAUGAAAAGCAAAUUCUCAAGUCAUGUUUAUCUUCAGGUACCUACUACUCACUCGCUGUGAAAAUUUAUCUUCAAAUAUUUUCGUAAUCAUACUUUUUUUUAAAUCAAAUUAUGACAAUCUGCCUUCAAAAUUUUUUCAAGUUCCAAAUUUCACUUUCUCUAUAAAACUUCAAAAACUCAAAUGCUCAAGUUUUAAUUUCAAAAUCCAUGAUCAAAUCUUGAUUUUCUUGUUUAAUUUAAUCUAACGUUUAUUUAGCUGGGAAGAACAAGGAGAGAGCAAGGAAGAAAAAGAAGAGAGUACAUUUUGCAGCUGAUGUGAAAAGUUCAAGCGGGAAUGGGGAGGAAUACAGAAGAAAACAGAUGAAGAAAUGUACAGAAAGCAAAAUUAAUUCAUGUGGGAAUGAGAUUAUGGGGAUGCCAGGUAAUAGGGUGGCUUUGUAUACUGGGAUUCUCAAGGAUCGGGUUCAAAGAAUGGGAUUCUCCUAUUGAUUAAUUUGUAUUUUCGUCUUCGUCUUCGUCUUCGUCUUCGUCUUCUUGCAAUGCAAAAUCCGAGGAAUUAGUGACAAGAAAUUUUACAGGUUUAGCUGGAACGUGUAAAUAAUAUUGUGUGAACAUAUUUUCUGGAAUCUAUAUUCAGUUCAUGAAAUUAGGAACUCCUUUCUUACUUGGUAUAUUUAUCUGGAAUCUUUUUUUUUUUCCUGAGAAAUGGAAUCUUCAGUUAGUGGUUAUUUUGUACUUUAGUUUUGUUCAACUCCAUUUGGUUAGCAAACAAAAAUAAAAAUGAAUAGAAUAACAAUAAUAAUUCCUCCCAGGUCCUUAAUUAAAGAAAGGGGAUAAGUGAGUAUUAUUAAGUUAAAAAAAAUAAAGUAUAACUGUAUUAGUUGUUUCAAUAACUACCAAAAUUAUUAAAUAACUUUGCAAAGUUGUUUGAAGCAAAAAUGUUUUAAAAAAAAACUGAAAAUUUUUUAAUCCCUUUUACCUUAUUUUUAAAAUUUGAAAGACCUUCACUUAAUUGAAAAAUUUGUUUGUCCCUUUCAAUUCAAGGUCCCAUAAUUAAGAGUGCAUUUGGAUUUGAGAUGAAAUUGAAAGAAUUAUUAUAUGGAGUUAAAAGAUGAAAUAAAUUGUGAAACUAACGCUAAAGUGAUUAACGGCAAAGAGGAAAGCCUCCGUCGGUGUGUUGAUUAAGAGAUAUAUGUACGAUUUAUUAAUCUACCUUCAUGAAAAUAAUUUUAUUUUUUAAAACUAAUUUAUCACUUAAUAUUUAAAAUUUAUAGUGAAAUUUAAUUAAAUCUGAAUUGACACAUGUAAAAGAUUUUUAAUUGAAUUUAAUGCAUAUUAUAGUUCACAACACAUCAUAAUUGGCAUCAAUAUGAUGAGAUACUUAAAAUUUUCUUACUUUUGAAUGACUUGUGCAUAAGGACUAAAUUUCACAUAUAUCUUAUGUGUUAUCUAAUUGAACUUGUAUUUUAAGUAUUUUGCAUUGAUAUUGCUCAACAUAAAACAUUAAGUUCACAUUAACUUUUCGACUUCUUUAUAUUGUUCGAGUUCAUAUAUAUUCGUUUUUAUAUAAUCAUUUGUCUUGUGGUUCAUUUCCAAAAGAAAAAUUAUUUAACGAGUUUUAAGAGUUAUGUUGCAAGAUAUAUAUUUUAAAGCUAAUAAAUAUAUCAACGUUGUAUUUUAAUUUACAGAUUUAGAAUUAUAAUUGUGCAAAUUAUUGAAUAAAAAAUUAACAAUAACAAUUAGGAUGGGAACAAUACUUAACAUCAUAAUAAAAAACUUGCAUAAAGAAAGAUAACAAAUCAAAUCUGACAGAUUUGUAAAGAGAUGGGUAUGGAACGGAAUAUUCUAUACUUUUUUUGAAAUGAUCAUUGACUUAAACUAUUCACUCUAUUGCUUUUGUCGUAUUUCAUCACUCUAUAUUUGACUUUAAUUUUCAUUGCAUUUAAAUUUAAUCACUGUGUACUAUUGCAACAUCUUAACAAUUGUAUGUUUAACAAUUGAUAUCAGAGCAAUUGUGGUGCUUUCUUAAGAAUAUUAUGCUCUGAUACCAAUUAAUAUAUAUAUUAUCAUUAUAUAGAAAUAUGAUCAAAGGAACGACCAAGGAUAUUUUAGGUAUUUCAUAAUUUAUUUCUUUUAAAUAAAAUCAAAAGUAAGUUGCUAUUUGUGCAAUUGUUCAAAUAUUUUAGAUAUUUUUAUUUUUCUCUGCCACAUAUAAAAUAAUAUUCAAUUAUCUGUCUACCAUUAACACCACAAAUGCAAUGAAAGACUUUUCUAGAAGACAUAAUUUCUAGACUUGAAUUGAAUAAAUAAGAGCAUCCUUUUAACUAUAUUCAGUUGUUAGUUCAAUCCUCUUCAAUAAACCUCAUAGGUACGUUUCUCGAUUUUAUUAUUUUCUUCAUAAUUCAUUUUCAAUCUUUUUCUAUUUUCGUAGAUAUUAUUUUUUUGUGGUGUUAUAAGUUGGAAAGUGGAUUCUUGAAUUGAAUAUUUUCUUUCUAGUUUAUUCUACUAAUUUCUUUGUGGUAUUAGAAGGCAUAAUAUGAGAUUCUUGAAUACCGAUUUAUAUAAUUUUUUUUUACUUAUUUUUCUAUUGUUACAAGUUGAAAUGUGGGAUUCUUAAAUAUCAUUUUUUUAAAAAAAUUAUUCUUCUCAUUUAUGUGUGUUGUUAGAUGUUAGAACAUGAGAUUUUUGAAUGCCCUUUUAAUUUAUUUUUUGGGGGGCUUAUUUUGGUGAUUUUUGUGUGUCUUUUAUUAUUAGAAUAUGAGAUUAUUGAAUACCCAUUUUGUGUUUUUGUUGAAAUUCAAUUAAAUCUGAAUUGACGCAUAUAAAAGAUUCUCAAUUGAAUUUAAUGUGUACUAUAGUUCACAACACAUCAUAAUUGACACCUAUAUGAUGAAUGUCAUUCUCAUUAAUCUUCUGAAUGUUUUGAAUAAUUAAUGGAGAUACUUGAAUUUUUUUUUGCUUUUGGAUGACUUGUGCAUAAAGUCUAACUUUCACAUAUGUCUCAUGUGUUACCUAAUUGAACUUGUAUUUCAAAUAUUUUGCAUUGAUAUAGCUCAACAUGAAUUCUUUAGAUUGUUGAAUUUGUUUUCAAACCCCUAGCUUAUUUACUUUAGAGACAUACGUAAGGUUCACGUAUAUUCAACCCUUUCAAAAAAAAAAUUGAGAUAACAUUGACUAUAUUAUUGUUGUUGUUUGGUAGUAGUAGUAUAAUUCACAUCACCUUUCCGACUUCUUCAUAUUGUUCGAGUUCAUGUAUAUUCGUUUUUAUAUAAUCAUUUGCAUUGUGGUUCAUUUCAAAAAAAAAAAAACUAUUUAACUAGUUUUAAGAGUUAUGUCGCAAGAUAUAUAUAUUUUAAAACUUAAUAAAUAUAUAAACAUUGUAUUUUAAUUUACAGAUUUAGAAUCAUAGUUGUGCAAAUUAUUGAACAAAAAAUUAACAAUAGCAGUUAGGAUGGGAACAAUACUUCACAUCACAAUAAAGAACAUACAUAAUGAAAGAUAAUAAAUCAAAUCUGACAAAUUUGUAAAGAGGUGGGCAUGGGACAAGAUGUUCUAUGCUUUUUUUCGAAAUGAUCAUUGACUCAAAUUAUUCACUCUGUUACUGUAACGUCUUGAGUCUGUACUCCGAAUGCUACACGGUGCUUACGACCCCGAAGGACCACAAUCUAACCCAUGACUGAUAUCUGCUGUGAGCACUGAAUAAUAAUAAUGAAAAUAAUACGGAAAAUAGGCUGAAUUGCCAGAAGGUUCAAAAUUUUAAAUAUUGGUAAAUAAUAACAUCUGAUAAAACAUCUGAAUCUAAGGUACUGUCUGAAUUAGUCUAGUCUGAAAAGCCUCUAACUGAACUGUCUAAAUGUGGAGUUGAUGGGACAAGCCCCAAACUAACUCCAACUAUUGAAAUACUGCUAAACUGAAAUACUGAAAUAAAAAUAUAUCCUCGAUAGAUAAGGACUCACUACUGCAAUUUGAUACUGCUGACUUAAUCUGGCUAAACGCGGUCAGAAUCCUGAGCGUUCGAAUUUAUGAUAUGAGACAUCAUAACACAAGAGAAAGUAUACGUCAGUACGUGGAAUUUACUGAUAUGAUAGAUGAGGUAAGACUAAAUACAGGGGUUUAUAUGCAUGAACAAUAACUGACUGAAUGAUAUAGAGUAACUGAAUAGGAGAACACAUAGAUAACUGAAACUGUGUAAAUAUUGAGUAUGCAAUACUAUACAUACAUGUGUAUACUAUAUCUGAGCUUAAACUGAAGCUGAGUACUGAGUUCUGAUAAUAAGUAAUAGAUAAAUCUGAGAUUACUGAUAAUUAUAUUACUCAUAACUGAGUGACUGUAUCUGAUAGUCCUGAUUCUGUAAACUAAAUUGAGUUCUGUACUGAGACUAAAACUGAGACUGUAGGAGAAAUUGUAGGAAGUAAUCAUCUAACCGACAUGCCCCAAAUAAGAUAACUGGGGUCCAACCUGUAACCCUAAUUAGAAGAGUGUUAGUACCGUACCACGGGUAAAGACAAGCUGAAGAGUUACCCUCAUCUGCGAGGUACUCUAAUGAGAAUGGUGGAACUCUCAACUGGCAGGUUAAAACACCUCAUCAACCCUUAAUUGGCAGGUUGAUGUCUCAACCUAUGCUGGCUACGUAGUUCUGGAACGCAAGAACUGCUUCUAAGGAUCACACCCUUUUCUGGUAAGUAAGCCCCCGUCCUUGAGUUCACUCGGUGCUGAAUCCUACUCCCAACUGAAUAGACACUGAACUGAUUAUACUGAGCUGAACUAGACUAAUACAGAGUUUCACUGAGUUCUAUAACUGACUGAGUACUACUAAUCGUGACACUACUGAAACUAUUCUGUAACUACUGUAGCUCUAGGUAAACAACUAGAUUUUCAGGUAUUGAAUACCCCCAGGACAUGAUCUUGAAAAACAUAACAAUAGAUACUUGUUGAUAAUAUAUUCACCUAGGCAUUUAGUCAAACACUUGGGAUAUAUGAACUUGUACAUGAAUGGGGCUAUAUAAUGUGUCAUGAUUCCACUAUUCAAUUCACAUGAGCAUUUUAUCAAACACUUGUGGAUCAUGGAUUAUUCCACAUGAUACUGGUCAACACAUGAACAUCAUGAAUAUCAUAGUCAAUUGUAAAUUCAAGGGUUUAUCAUGCAAUUCAUAUAAUUCAUCACACAAACCAUUUUAAUUUCAUGAGACCUACAAUUAAAUCAUGAAUUGAAACCCAAUUACUAUCAUGAACGUGAAUACAAUUAAUUACAAGUAUGAAAAUCAUAAAUCUGAGAUCCCGUAUGUUUAAAAAGGUUUCUUGAACUUCAUGGGUGGAAGUAACCCAUGAAUGAACACCUAACAUACCUGAGAAGAUGAGUUCUUGAAGGAAUUCUUGUGUUUGAUCUUGAUCUUUAAGCUAUGAUUUUGCCCUUUGAAAGAGAAUGUUUUAAUUCUUGAGAGAAAGUGAGUAGUAGUGAGAUAAUAGGUUAUUUAGGGGUUUAAUUUCGUGUUUAUACUGAGUAGGGCCAUGAAAAAUUCCAAAUUACUCCUAGGAAAAUUAAAAAUUUCAUCACUGGAUGCCCGAUUUUGGUCCUCACCAUGACGCGGUGGAAUCGCGGUGAGCCAUUGGAAUGUGGUUGGUACUGUUCAUAAAAGGGAUGAGUGCGAAAAUGACCCUUGGCACAACUCGCCAUGAUCGCGGAGUCACACUAAAAAAGGACAAUUCUGAAUAUGGACAUUGGCGCGACGUACCGUUAUCGCGGAGCUCACUGAAAAAUGUCAAUUUGGAACUGGCACUGCUCCGCAAUGCGGACUUAUUGCGUCGGCUUGCUGGAAACUGACAAUUGCCAUUUGCACCCUCUUCGGGACGAACUGAUUGCCAAAUUGGCACACUAUUUUAUAAAAUAUGCUAUAACUCUUUACCCGGGUAUCAGAUUUAGGCGAAUUUUAUAUUAUUGAAAAGCUUAUUGAAUUUCCUACGCAAUGAUAAGCUCUAAAUUGAAAAAUACUGAAUAUUUAGAAAAAUUUAUAUAGGAUAACUCAUGUACUGAGGGUUAAGUUAAAUUAGAGAAAUACGGGGUAUUACAGUUACUUUUGUCGUAUUUCAUCACUCUAUAUUUGACUUUAAUUUUUAUUGCAUUUAAAUUUCACCACCGUGUAUUAGUGAAACAUCUUAACAAUUGUUGCCAUACCCUAUUUUUAUCUAAGAUCAAAACAAGCACGACAUUAUGGACUCAAAAAGAAUUAAUUUGUCCAGAGUAGCCACCUAAUUUUUAAGGAAAAAUAGAAAACUUAUUUAUUUGUUUAACAAGUAUGACUUUUUUAAAUCUACGAAAUCAAUUUGAGUUCUAGGCACCCUUCAGAAUCCACAAAUGUGGUUCCCUGCCAGACUUAGGUUUAUUAAAAAAGAGAAAGAGAAAAAAUCAAUGUUUGUAAAUAUAAAUAUAAAAUAUGUAUUGAAAUAAUAUAAUGUGUGUGCUAUUGUAAACAAAAAUAUAUAAAUAUGCAUGUAAAGAAAAGAUUGAAUAAAGAAAAAUUGUUCUAAAGAAAAAGACUACGUAAUAUUUUAGUAUAAAAACGUGAAUUAUUUGAUUAGUUAUCUAAAUCAAUUUAAUAUAAAUUUUAACGGCCUAAAUUUGCCUAAACACGUGAUGAGGAUUGCGUAAAGAAUAUCCCGCCCAACAUCCCCAAUUUUUUUUUUCACUAUGAUAAUAUUUGUACAAGUAUAAGAAUAUAAAAAUAUAAUACAAAAUUUAAAGUCUUCUUUGAAGGUCAUUCCCGACGAGUAUUCCCAAUAAUCUGUAUAAAUACUUGUAAUAAAAAUGUUAGUAACAAAUAAAUAAUUAUCAAAAUAAAUUGAAUAGGUAUGUAUAUAUAUAUGUAUUUAAAAUAUAAUUUUUCGUUAAAAGAAUGGGCUUAGAUAAUUUAAAAAAAAAAAAUUGUAAAGAUCUCAUCAUUGCCCAAAAUAUUUAUUUUAUUACGUAUUUGUAUACGUAAUGUCCGUCUUUUAUUUGAAAAGAUCUCAAAAAUCAACGAUUUUUUUUUUCAUCGGACAAAUAUUUAAUACUUGAAAUAACCAAAUUGCGACUAAGAAAAUAAAAUUCACUAGAUCAAUCAAUCCAAAAGAUAAUAAUAUUUAAGUGCUAUGUCUAAAAUCUAUCUUGUACCAGAAAUGAGCAAUACUAACAAUUGUUACUUUUUUUUUUUUUGAAAACAAAUUCGUGGCUUUAUUGCAAAUGAACAAUUGUUACUUACUUUGUUUUAGUUAAUAGCAACAAUCAAAACAUCAACAUGUCAACUAAAGAUAAAUAAUCACCAAUAGCCACAUAAUCUGACUAUGUUAAGAAUACCGAUUCAAUAAAGGCUAAAGAAAAAUUUAAUAAACUAUCCAAAUAAUCAUUAGAAAAAGAAGUAAACUUGAAACAAUUAAUAGUUUGAACAAAAUCUCGAACGGAGCAAACAAUUUAUGUCUAAGAUUUAACAAGUGGUUAGAUCUGAUUGCGUUGUGUUGUUCUCUGGGCUGACAUCGUUUUUGACUGAUCUCGAUGAAAAAAGAGGGGGAAAGGAGGUUGUGGCGUGGUUGUGGGUGUUCGCGAUGGUGGUGCAUGGCGUGGGGGUUGUUGGAUCAUGAUUUUGUGGUCGUUUUGGUGAUGGUGAUGGAUGGACGUUGAUGUUGUUGUUAUGGUGGUUUGGUGGUGAACGAGCUUCGACAGUGAUGGCUUACGCGAAAAAACAGUGGAUGUGGGAGAAUUUUUUGGCUAGAUUUGGCUCGUGUUUCCGGCUAGCAAUGGCGGAAAGGAAUAAAGAGGGAGAUGGGAAGAAAGGAAGAAUGUGGUGGUGGCCGCCGAUCGUCUGUCAAGGUGGCUUACUGAAAUUCGAUUGUGUCGGUAGUGAGAGGAAAAAAGGAGAAGAGGAGAAGAGAAAAGAGAGAUCUGAUGUGUGUGUGUUGGUGUGUGCUUUGUGUAUUUUGUCUAUUUUUAAAGAAGUUUUAAAGAAAGUAAAAGGGAAGUAUUAAAAAUAGAAAAUAUAAAAAUAAAAUUUCAAAUCUACUUUUUCCGAACACAUCCCUUAAAUUAUGGAUAACAGAUAAAGGAAAAGUCAAGUGUCAUAAUGUUGAUAAGAACUUGACUUGACUGAUUUGUUGCUCUAUGCAUUAAUAUAAUUGAUUCGAUUCAACUUUGUGGGUUGUAAUAAAUGUACAAAAAUAUAGGUAUUGAUAUGUAAUUACAAAAAAAAUGUAAAGAAUAUUGAAAUUAUUGAAAUAUAAUUAAUUUAAAAAUACUGUAAAAAAAAUAUGACAUCAUGUCGUGCAUGUGUGCGGAUGAUUGCAAAAUAUUAAAAGCGAUAAUGAAUUGAUAAAAAUUCUAAAAUAAGAAAAAUUAUUAAUAAGUUAUAAAAAAAUAUGACAACUGAUUGAUUAAAAUUCUAAAAUAAGAAUGAUUAUCAACAAUUUGUAAAACAAUUGUGAGAAAAAAAAUUAUAUUUUGUAUCCUUUAAGGAUCAGAAAGUCUGAAGACGUUAAUUUUAAACACGAAAAAUAAAAAUUGUGAUUGUAUGUUUAACAAUUGUUGCUUUCUUAAGAAUAUUACGCUCUGAUACCAACUAAUAUAUAUAUAUAUAUUACCUUAUAUAUAAAUGAAGGUUGGUGUGCUACUAUUUUGUCUUACUUAAAGGGUAUUUUGGAGAAUAAUAUUUUCAAUCAACAAUACAGAAUAUGUGGUAAGUGAAUUUCCACAUGGUGACUCGCAGAAAUCCGAUUGUGUCGGUAGUGAGAGGAAAAGAGGAGAAGAAAAGAGAGAGAUCUGAUGUGUGUGUGUUGUGGUAUGUGUUUUGUCUCUUUUUAAAGAAAGUUUUAAAGAAAGUAAAAGAGAAAUAUUAAAAAUAGAAAAUAAAUAAAUAAAAUAUCAAAUUUACUUUUUUCCAACACAUUUCUUAAAUUAUGGAUAGUAGGUGAAGAAAAAAGUCAAGUGUCAUAAUGAUGACGAAACCUUAAUUUGACUGAUUUAUUGCACUAUGCAUUAAUAUAAUUGAUCCGACUCAACUUUUGCAGAUUGUAAUAAAUGUACAAAAAUAUAGGUAUUGAUAUGUAAUUACAAAAAAAUGUAAAGAAUAUUAAAAUUAUUGAAAUGUAAUUAAUUUGAAAAUACUGUAAAUAAUGUGACGUUAUGUCGUGCACGUGUGCGAAUGAUUGUAAAAUGUUAAAAACGAUAAUGAAUUGAUAAAAAAUUUAAAAUAAAAAAAAUAUUAAUAAAUUAGAACAAAUUAUGACAACAGAUUGAUUAAAAUCCUAAAGUAAGAAUGAUUAUCAACAAUUUGUCAAACAAUUAUGAGCAAAAAAAUAUAUUUUGUGUCCUUUAAGGAUCAUAAGAGCUGAAAACGUUAAUUUUAGAUACGAAGAGCAAAAAUUGUGUGUCAACAAUUGAAUUUUUAACAAUUGAUAUCAGAAUAUAUAUAUAUANNNNNNNNNNNNNNNNNNNNNNNNNNNNNNNNNNNNNNNNNNNNNNNNNNNNNNNNNNNNNNNNNNNNNNNNNNNAAAGCUGGUUUCGACAUGGGUGACUAAUGACAUAACAAAUUUAUCUAAGGUAAUUUGAUCAUUUGCUUCAAAAGUUGAUAACCACUUGCUGAUAUUUAUUAUCUAAGGAUAAUUUGGUCAUUCACUUCAAAAGUUGAUAACCACUUGCUGAUAUUUAUUAUCUAUCAAUCACAAAUUUGCUAUCAAACACUUGACACUCUUUUAACAUUAACAAAUUUUCUACGACACACAUUUCAUGUCAAAUGUUGAAACGUGGCACAAUGUUGGCAUUAACAAAUUUUCUACUAAAUAUAAAUAAUUUUUCUACUAAAUAUAAAUAAAAAUAAAUACUUCUGGCCAAUUCAGGUCUUUAAUAUUAAUGCUUAAUCUGUAAAAGAAAAUCUCAACUCUUGCGAUAUUCUCUCUGUCAGGUAAAGAAAAAAUCUCAAUUCCUGCAAUAUUCUCUCCGUCGGGUAUGUUUACUGAUUUCUAAUAAUCAAUAAUUUGUUGAAUUUUUGAUUUAAAGUAUUUCAUCAGAUAUACAACUUUCAGUGUUGUGAUUAUUGCUUCUUUACUUUCUAAUUGGGGAUUUCCUAUUUUAAUAGUAGAAGAAAGGAAAAUUUCUUAUCUGGAGUUUCAUUUGAAGACAAAACAGACUUUUUAAUCUUUCUCCUUCUGUGAUUCUUUAUUGUGUGUAAUAUAGAUUUUGUUCUACCGUGCAUACAGACUACUCUGUGUUGUGUAAUUGUAAGGUACGUUUUUGGUUAGUAGCUUUCAUAUGAAAUUUAAUUUCAUAUAUAAAUUAAAUUGCUUAUUUGGGGUUUUAUUUGGAAUUUUCUGAAGAAGAAAAUUCAAUUUGGUUAGAUUACCCACUUGGGAUUUCUGUUCACUGUUGAUUUUAAUGGAGGAAGAAGAUCCGAUUUGAUAUCUAGAGUAAGUUGCUUAUUUGGGGUUUUGCUUAGGAUUUUCUGAUUCUAAUUAAAGAAGAAACGUUGAUUUGGUUAGAUUGCUUACUUGAGAUUUCUAUGCGCUUUUGAUUUUAAUGGAAGGAGAAGAAGACCAAUUGGUUUUCCAAUUUCUACAUAGAUUAACCAAUUUUUCUACUUUAUUGAUGAGUUCUCUAUGAAAAUAUUGCUUUGUUGUUUGUUCAUAUUUGUAGAUAUAGAGAUGUCAAAAUAGCAGUGACAGAAAUUUGGAAAAAGCAUGAGCAUACACCGGACUUCCAAAUAAGAAGAAUUUGAACUUUUAUUUAUUUCAACAAACAUUACAUUCAUCUUAUAAAGGCUCUCGGUGAGAUAGCCUUUUCCUACAUACAUUUCUCCUUUGCUAAUUCCAAUUUUUUUAGAAACGGUUACACAUCUGAAUCCGCUCUUAUCUAGAAGUGAAACAAAAAUUAAAUUCCUACGUAACUCUAGAACAUACAAGACAUUAUUAAGUGUCAAGACCUUUCCUGAAGUCAUUUUCAAACAUAUUUUUCCUGUUCCUUCUACCUUUGCAGUAGCGGAGUUAGCCAUGUAGAUCAUUUCUUCUACUUGGGCCGGAGCGAAUGACGAAAACGACUCUUUGUUGGCACAUACAUGGCGGAUGGCACCAGAAUCCAUCCACCAUUCGCGAAUAUUCCCCACCAAGUUGCACACAAAUCAUAGCAUUCUUUGUUGGAUUCAAUCAUAUUUGCUUGAUCCUUUUUCUUGCCUUUCUUCGGAGCACGAUAAUCUGUGGACUUGUGGCCAAUCUUGCCACAAUUGAAGCAUUUUUCCUUGAAUUUCUUCUUGGGUUGAUUGCUUCGUUGUUCAGCUUUCUUUCUUUUCUUAGAAUUGUUUUGGUCAUCUUCUAUAAUAUGUGUUCCAUUAAUUGUAGAAUUCCCUUUAGACCUUCUCUCGGCAGCUUUAUUGUCCUCUUCAAUACCCAGUCGGACAAUAAGAUCUUCGACAGUCAUAUCCUUGAUUUUAUGCUUCAAGUAGUUUUUGAAGUCUUUCCACAAAGGUAGUAGCUUCAACUAUCGCUGCUACUUGAAAUGCAUCAUUCACAAUCAAACCUACAAAAUAGUUUAUGUAAGUAUUAAGAACCUUUUUAAUUUGUUCAAUUAAGGUAUUUUUCAAAGAUAUACCUUCUGCUAGGAGAUCAUGUAUGAUGACUUACAACUCUUGCACUUGAGAGACAACUGAUUUGCCAUCUAUCAUUUUAAAGUCCAGGAACCGUGCAACAAGAAAUUUCUUAAUUUCCGCUCCUCUAUUUUAUAUUUUCGUUCAAGUGUCCCUCAUAAUUACUUCGAUGUCUUAGUUCUACUAUAGAUAUUGUAGAGGUCGUCUUGGAGACCACUCAGAAUAUAAUUCCUGCAAAGGAAAUGUGAAUGUUUCCAAGCUUCUAUAAUUACGAAACGCUCUUUGUCCGAGGUUCCCUCGUGCACCUCAUGAGCGUCUUCGCUAGUGAACCGUUGCAGACACAAAGUGGUGAGGCAAAAGAACAUCUUUUGCUGCCAUCUUCGGGCUUCUCCGCCGGUGCCAUUAUAGGCAGAGCAUUUGUGUGAAUUGAUGUGGCCAUAUUAGUUGCCCCCACAAACGUUGCCGCAUCUUACAUUUGACUAUCGCUUGUCAUUUUUUCUGUCACCACAAGACAAAAAAUACUUAGUAUUUUCAGAAUACUACUUAUAAAGGUAAGCAACUUUAAACUUUUCUUCUUGUUUCUAGUUGACAAUGAAGUUUUUAUGACUUCCAAUUGUCAACCGAAUGAUCUUUAACUUGUGAUGAAGUUUUUAUGACUUCAAAUCACUAGUUAAGUUCAGGCGGAGUAGAAAGUUAAAACUUUAAUCUCCAUAAACAAGCUAUACAGAUUUUGAAACUUGUUUCCUUAAGAUUGUUAUUUCCUUCUACGGGUAUGCAGAAUAUGUAUAUGCAGAACAACAACUUCAACUAGAGUUCAAGUAUAAAUAAGAACACAAUGAAGUAUAUCAAAUACCCCCAACACAAGAUCAAAAUGACCUUUUCAAGAGGUGCAUUUUUUUUUCAAGAAAAUAGAUGAAACAAAAAUGAAUAAGGCUAAGUCGUCCAAAUUCACGGACUUUCCUUAAGGAAAUAAUUUCCCUCACUGUACCUGAGAUUGCGAAUUUUUCCUGCCAGAAUAAAAUAGCCAAACAAACCAACUGUAGCUGUACUUCAAAUAAUUGGAAUAUCGUCGAACUCACUUAACAAAUUAACUAAUCACAUAGAGUAUUUGUAAAGACAAGAAGAAAGUUUAUUACAGAAAAAUUCAUAUCAAAACCUGUGAAUGAAAGCAGGUUUAUAUAGCCUGUGAGAUGCCUCUUCGAAAAGGUGGCAUUGGUUCACUUAAAUAGUGUGAUAUUUCUGAAAAUUCAUGUCUGUUUACCCAAAAAACGUGUCCUUCUCCAAACAGACAUACUAGUUCACGAAACAGUACAUCAAUUUGUUGAACAGACAUAUCAUUUCAUUGACCAAUUGCAUCAGUUCGAAGCAGUGUAUCAUUUUAGAAAAUACUGUUUCGAAAUCUGUAUGCAUGUAUAAAUGGAGGAAUACUGAUGCGUUUUCCUUUUGGCAUUCGAAUUAAAUUUACGUGAAAUAAACUUUGUCAAAAAAAUAUAUCUCAUUGAUCCGAGCGAGCGAUGAUAGUGGCGCAAGACAUUUCUUAUUUCUUGUCUCACUUAGCAUGUGGAGUAAGUGCUUUCUAUUAAAAACACUCCAUAGUUCCCUUCUCCCACCAAUGUGGGAGAAGUAGUGAACUUUCCAAUUUUGGGAUUUCUUCUUUUAAAUUGGUGUCUCCUUUCUUCCACCAUUUUUCUCUCCAUUUUCCAUUCACACUUUUUUCAUACAUAUUGAACCCAACAGGUUUGAGAUAGAAUUAUGGAGUUAGCGAAUGAAAUUAUUUUGGCCACACGACCAAAUACAUGAAAAUUCUUUAUUUAACUAUUAUUUUUUGGUAACAGAUUUUGGUGGAGGGGUCUGGAAGUGUUAGAACAUUCACAUUAAAUAUCAUUAGUCUCACAAAUAUUCAUGAUUCCAGUGUGAAUCUCUAACUUUGUAUAGAUGAAAUGAUGAGAGCAUGUCGUUAAGAAGAAAAUAAAAAGGAAAGGACUCUAAAAUUAUGUGAAAUGUUGUAACGUGUAAUCUAAUUCAUCUCAAAGUAUGUUAAUCAAACAAGACUUCCUUUAUCGUUGACAUUCUCCUUCACGCGUGCCAUUAAUUUCAGGGGGGCUGAAGUUAAGGAAAUGGUAUGGGGCAUCUGACCUCCUUCCAAAAGAUGGAUCCCUUUCAGAAGAAAAUGAGUUUUCUGGUAACUGAAAUUAGUAAUAUUUUCCAUGUAUUCCUGCUUUAACAUAUAAGAUCAACUAUGUAUUUUUUUCCUUUUCCAGAAUGGAAGAAGAUGAAGUCAGGGAUGCAGUUUUAGUUACCGAUGGAGAUAAUGAGAUUGGCCAGGUUCGUAUAUGGUAGCAUUGGAUACCGUACACCGGAAUCUUUAUAAGUAUCAUGUUGUUUACAAUAUGUGCAUCUGGAAGCAAUGAACAUAAUUCAUCUUAUGUCUUCUAAGUUCCACUGGAAUGAUUUCAUAGACUUCAGUCUUAAUUUAAGAGUUCUCCGCCUCAAUGAUUCAAUAUAUAGCUCAAUCUAUAAUCAGUCUCGUUUGACGUAAACUUUACCUAUACAUGAUCUUGAACAGAUGGUUAUAUUGUCUUUGAUAAUCAAAUGAACUCGAAUCAAAGCUCUGGUAAAGGAUAAGCGGGCUAUAAAUGAAAGCUUUUGGUUGGUGGCAUUCUUAUAUAUUUUUUAAGUAUCAUUUAUUUGGUUGUAUUUUAAUACUUAAUCUUCCUAAGCUGCUAUGAAGCCAAUAGUAGGUGAGAAUAUUGAAGAUUUUGUAUAAUCUAAAGUAAUUUAAUUUGUCUCUUUUUUUCAAGGUCUGUUUGUUACAUUAUUUUGUGGUGUAUAACUUACUAUUAUAGUUUAGGAGUACAACAUAUGUGUAAAGAUGGCUCACAAAUACCAUGACAAUAAGUUUAGCUUUCAAAAGUGAGUGGCUAACAAGAUGCGGAUGCACAAGUCUUGUGUGCUUAUGAAAUGACUGUGCCUCUUGGUUUGGUGGAUGAAGUCGCACUUUUUCAUGCCAAGGGUGUUGAGAUUGAAAUUCAGUAGCUAAGUUAAUUUUUUGGAUCUUAUCAUUGGGAGUUGUUGCCAUUAGUAAAUAUCUGAGGCCCACAAAUUAAUGCAUUUAUACAUAUUGGGCUUGUUAUAAUAUUAGUAAGGGAUCGUUUAGUGUGAGGGAUAAGAAAAGAUAAUUUCGAGAUAAUUUUUUAGUAUCAUCUUGUUUGGUUACAAAGUUUGGAAUAACUUAUCCCAGAUACUUCAAUGCCAUAUAAGCUUGGUCAACAGUCAGAGGGGUUUAAAAUAUUAUAUUUUGAUGGGUUGAGGGGUUCAGAUGACAAAUGUAUAAGUUGGAGUUUCCACUUUACAAACCAGACCAAGUACAAGGAUCCACCGAGCUAUUUUGCUUAUUUAUAUUUAUUGUAAUAUAAUAAAUAUCUAAUAUUGCAAAUUGUCGUAUGACAACAUUAACAAAGUUAACUUAUAAAAAAAAUAUGGAAUUUAAUUUAAAUAAUUAAAAGACUUGAUUCAAUAAAGGCAAAAUGACCUUCUGAACCCUGUACUAUGUCGAUUUUGUAAGUUGGACACUUCUACUUACAUGUUUGUUAUCUGGACUCCUGAACCCACUAAAAAGCAACAUUUUAGACCCUUUUUUGGUGAGUGUAAUGCACUCUCCCCCACGCCAGUUGCCACGUCUGCCACGUCAUCUGCCACGUCAUUUAAAAAAAAGUAUUACAUUAAAUUCCAAGUCAUUUUUAAAAUGCUACAUAGUAAAUUAAAUAUUAAAAUUAAUUUAACUAAAUAAAAGAAAUUUAUAAAUUGUAGAAUAAUUUGAAUAAUCAUGUUUUUAUUUUUGCUCACAAAGUAAACAUCAAAUCCAUUACAAAUAAUUCAAAUUCUUCUCCAACUAAUUUAAACUUUUAACUAUAAAUUCAUAUAUACAAACAUAAAAAUAAAUUGAUUUUUAUAUUUGAAUAUUUUUAACAAAUUCACUAUUUUUUUUCAAUAUUCACGAUCACUCACUUUCAAUUUAAAUUUAAAUUUUAAUCCCCAAAAAAAUUAAAAGAUUUCAAAUUUAAAUUUUAAUUAAAAAAAAGAAUUGAAUUGAGAGAAAAAAAUAAAAAUAAAAAAUAAAAAGUGAACGUUGGGGGAGGGGGAGGGGCUGGAAGAGUGUUGGGGUAGGAUGUGGAGGCUGGAAAGGGAUGGGAGUGGGGGGAGGGUGGGGCUGGGGGGGGGGUGGGGGUGGGNNNNNNNNNNNNNNNNNNNNNNNNNNNNNNNNNNNNNNNNNNNNNNNNNNNNNNNNNNNNNNNNNNNNNNNNNNNNNGGGUGGGGACGGGCUGGGGUAGAGUGUGGGGGUGGGGAGGGCUAGGGAGGGAAAAAAUAUAUUUUUUAAAAUUUUUAAAAAUAUUUUUAAAAUAAUUUUUUUAUUUUUAAAAUAUUUUUAAAUUAAAAAAGAUGGAGGGAAAAAGGAUCCUUUUUUAUUUUUUUUUUUAAAUUAUAAAAAUAUUUUUAAUUUUUAUCAAAAAUUUUAAAAAUAUUUUUAAAUUAAAAAAGAUGGAGGAAAAAAAGGAUCCUUUUUCAAUUUUUUAAAAUUUUUAAAUUUUAAAAAUAUUUUUAAAUUUUAAAAAUAUUUUAAAAAUUUUAAAAAUAUUUUUAAAUUUUAAAAAAUGAAGGAAAAAAAGGACCCUUUUUAAAAAAAUUUAAAAUUUUAAUAUUAUUUUAUUUUUAUUUUUAUUAUUUUAAUGUAAAAUUGGUCAAAAAUGACCCCCACUCGCACCCCCUGGCGAGUGGCUGCACUCUCUUUGUCCUAAUCACUAUUUCAAUCCCACAUAGGCAAGGUCAACGGUCAAAGGGUGCGAAAUGUUGUUUUUUGAUGGGUUCAAGGGUUCAGAUGACAAACAUAUAAGUAGAAGUAUCUAACUUACAAAAACGACAUAGUACAGGGGUCCAGAAGGUCAUUUUGCCUUCAAUAAAAUACUUUUAUAGAUGUUCCUUCAUACUAUACCAUACAAAAGACAUUGAAAAGUUACUUUUUGUUUUUUAACUUUAGUAAUUUCCUUUACCUGAAAAUACAUGUUAAGAAAUGUAUAUUGAUAUUUCUUAAAUGUGUAUGAAACUUUAAUAUUUCAUGUCAAAUUAAUUAUUUUGUCCUAAAUUCUAAAAAAAUAUUUACUAUCCCAUUUUUGGUUAAAAAAUUCAUCAUAAAAAACUGUGAAAAAGAAUUGCUCUUAUUUUUCAUUAUUUAUUAUCAUUAAUAUUUGGAGAGUUAAAUUAUAUUUUUAAAAAUUAAAUUUUCAAUCAUUUUUUGCUAUAUAUAAAAAAUAAUUAAGCAUGUACUAAGUUAGAAUGAAAAUAUCAAAAUACUUUAUUUACUUGUUCGUGAUAAAUUUUUUAGAAAAAAUAAUAAUUUCAAAUAAGAUUAAUAAACAUUUCCGCAAAAGAGAAAGAAAAUAACUUUGAGAUCAGUUUUGAACUUCCUGUAGUUUUUUAUAGUAUCACUAUCAUUUUUCCAUGACUCAUUACUUUUGUAGUAUUUAAUAGGCCAUAUAGUUGUUUAAAUUUAUCAAAAUGGAUGUAAAUUUAUACAGUUAUUAAAACUUAAAUUAGGCAUAAAAUUGACAAAAACACUUCAUGCGAGAACUACCAAAAUCUCACAUUCUCUCUUUAUAUACUAAUAAUAUAUAUAAAGGCCGUCUGUAGGUCUGCUUACCAUGAUUAAAUUGAACUUUGAACAACCGUAACUUUAAAGAGAAAGAAUCUGACUUCAAUCCUAUUGGCUUUCAACUCCCAAUUAUACCUGAGAAUGAAAUCAAUUAGACUUCCACGAAAAUCAUACUGAAGAAAUAGUUGCAUCUCUUUUCUUGAGUUAGAGGGAGAAAUCUCAAAUUCUUACUUUCUCUUUGCCAUGGUUCGCAGCCUAAGCAUCAAUCUUAAAUGAUUGUCUCUCAACUCAUAUUUUCAAGAUUGAGCAAGAUUGACUUUGAUUUCAUUCGUUUCAGUGUUUCAAUAGAGCCCGUAAUCAGUAUAUUUUAUUUAGGAUUGACUAAUUUUUAGUCUUUACUAGGAUGAAAUUAAAGUCUUUGUUGAAUUUCAUCACAUCCCUUAGAAUGGAGUAAAGGAUUGAAUUCCUUUAAGUCAGAAUUGAAGUAUAGCCUUAAGCAAUAAACGUAGUCAAGUAAUUUCUUACCGAUUUUAACUCUCUUGCUGCGCUUCUCAAUUUUCAGUCAGAGAUGUGUAAUAUGAGCUAAAUGCCUAUAUUUGCUAUUCCUCGAGUCUUUCUAAAGUCCCUCUUAAGAGUAGAGAAUCAAGCUAAAUCAUUAAGAACUCAACAUCAGCAAAUCAGUCACAGUCAGAAGUAGGAGGUCAGUCUUGAUAUUAUACUAAAAGCCCUAUCUUUAAUAGAGCAGCCUUGAAGCGGGAGAUGGUAUAGUAGUCUUAGGGUGAAGUUACCUAGGAGUUACGAAAGUUGAAAAUGAAGACUUCGAUUGAGUUGCCUAUUCCUCAUUAGUGUGGCAUAAUAGCUCGAAACCGAUUGGAAGUCGUUGAGUAAGUUCCAAUAGAGUUAGGGGUGUGCAUCGGUCGGUUCGGUUCGGUUUUACAUGUUAUUAGUUCGAUUUAUCAGUUUUUUAUUUUUAAAUAUGCAAAAUCAAUAACCAGCCAAUAAGAUAUUUUUUAUCAGUUUUCUAUUUGUCAACUUUUGAUCCUUAACGGUUUGAUUUUCAGUUUAACCAAUAAGAAAUACUCAUAAAGUAAAAAUAGUGACAGCUAACAUAAAAAAAUUGAAUCUUAAUUGGCGCCAAACUCCCACACAAUGCGUUUUUGUUAAUAGGAAUCUUCAAACUUGAACUGAAUGUUGGUUAAAAAAAACUAAAUUCUAGUUGUUGUAAGCUACUGAAUACUUUAAGCUUUUCAAUACGGCAAUACUCGUGCUUUGCAUUGUGCCUUUGUUGCCCUAAAUAGAUUAAUACUUUGUGAAUCAUUGAAUUGUGAAUAAGUAGUGUGUGUAUAUAUAUAUAUAUAUACAUAUAUAUGAUAUUAUAAAUAAGUAAUAUAAUUAUUUAUAUAUAUAACAUAAAUUGAGAUAAAAUAAUAAUUUAGAAUUUCCUUAUUGGGUUAUCGACGUUGACUCAGCUCAUUUUCGAUUUCCUGAAUUUCUUGUGAAAUUUGAAAAAGCCUUUUUGAAACUGCAAGAGUUGUCAUACCGCGCUAAUAAUAUAAUAAUAAUUUUUAAUUUUAUUUUAGAGCCGAAGGCUUAUCGAGUUUCUAUUUAUAGAGUAGAAGUAGAGUAACCCCGCCAUGCUUCAUGAAUUUGAUGAGUUUUUCAUAGUUGGGUACUAUCAUGACUCUUUGAUGAAAAAUCUAACUACCUUGCAAAGCAAAUGUUCCCGCAAUCGCCCUGUGUGAACAAUCUUUGCAUAACCAGCUUCAACCGUUAUGCCUAAUCAAUCACUGUUAGGAUAAGCGAAAUCGAAGAGGUUAGCUAGAAGGUAAGGAUAACAUGAUGAAAUAGUUGCGGGUCAUUUGGAUCAUGGGUCAAAACUACUUGGCUAGAGGCCGCUAAAUAUCAUUUGGAUGUGCCGCAGCUAUAUGGGCUUAAGCCUCUUUGAUGGUUUGGGCUAUUUUGGAUGGACUCAGAUCCUUUGCAUUCUUUCAUGUGAGUAGACAACUUUGAAUAGAUCCUGCGGGAUUUCUUGCAUAGACUUGGGCUUGUUUUGAUGACGGGUAGGCUUGUCAUGCUUUCUCCUUUCUGUGGUCUUUCAUCGAGUAAAGUGGGCUUGACAAAAUGCGAAUCACAUGCUUAUAAAAAGAAGAUGGAAUCACUUUAAGGGAAAACGAUUCAACUACUAACGUAAGUAGUUGUCUAUUUCGCGUGUCCUUCCUGUACUGACUUACGGUAUACCGCUGUUAGUGAACACUAAGGUUUUUGUGGACUGGCAAAGAGAGCAGUACAGGUAGAUAAAAAGAGAUGAAUCAAGAGGGUUAGGUCUUUUCCUAAGGAAGGACAGAGCUGUCGAGUGAGGACUGACCGAUGGGAGUCCAUGAUGUAGCUGGGUACAAAUAACCCAGGAAAAAAAAGACACGUAAAAGCCAGUGGGAUAGACGGAUUACAUGGUUUGUACUGAUCAGCUUUGAGUUGUCGAGUAAGGAUUGCUCCAUCUCUUAAUAACGGGGCUUUGUAACCUGGUCUUAUUAGAUGUUAAACGAGAAAGGGAGUACUCUAUGAUGUGUGUUGUAUUAUUGUAUUAGCUUAUGAUCGAUCCACACGACGAUACCAAAGGACUUUUAUUUUCGCUUAGAGGUUUCAAAUAGAAGUUCUCUAUUUUGCAAAACAAGGCAAGGAAAGUGUCCAAUUUCAUGUCUUAUUAUUUUCAACAAUUCAUACUUGUAGCAACGAAAUGUUAUAUAUUUGAUAAAUGAUUGAUUACAAAUAUUUAGGCUAUAUUUUUUUUCGUAUAAAUAACAUAAAUACCAACCCUUUUGGAAGUAAUUACACUCUCUCCUACAUUUUAAUUACUUUACUCUCUCUCCUUAUUAAAAUAUAUAAUAUAACCGACAUAUACAUAACAUUCUGUGUAUAUUUUGGGAUUUUUGUAAUAUGUUCAGGGAGUUGAGAUUUUUUGUAAUAUUGAAAAUAUAAAUUGUGUAUUUGUGUAAUUUUUAGUUUUUUUUUUUCUCUAUCUAUAAAGGCCCAGAAAUAACUUGUAUAUAUAUAUAUUACAAUUUCUUUUCAUUUGGGGGUAGAAAAGAUGAAGGCAAACUCCUAUAGAUUUUUGCUUUUUCUUUUUUGAUUAUCUUUGAUUUAAUCUUUGUUAAUUUUUGUUUUCUAGUUUAAUGGUAAAAGAACUUGUUAAAUCAUGGAGAUGCAGGUAUAUCAAGUGAAAUAUCUUUAAGGAUAGUGUCAAAAUUCAAAAAUUAAUUUUCAUUUUUUGGCAUAAUUUUUAAUAGCAUAUAUAUUUCAUAUUUGCUAAAAAUGAGGUGGAAGGGGUAAGAAAGAAAAAAAUUAGUAACAGGGGCCAGCUGCGAAAAGAAAAAAAUGUUUUGAUCAAUAGGCACUGUGAGAGAGAGAGAGAGAGAUUGCUGUGACUUUCUUUUCAGGUAAAUUCCUCUACUCUUUCACAGAGGCAAUUUUUUUUUCCUCUUGCAUGCAUUUUAUCCCUGCCAUUACUUUCUUGCUUUGGUUUUUACAUUUCUAGCUACCUUUUCCGGUCAAUUAGGGUUCCUAAACGUGUGUCAAUUUCUUAAAAUUAAAUUACUGAGAGGUAUUCGAGGCGAAAGCUAUUUGGAGGAAUCAAGUUAUUUAGUCUUUGUGGUAAAAUUUGGAUAUACUCAGGAUGUAUGACCUGGACCACUUAUUUUGUUUACAAUUCUGUUAUCUGGAUUUCUAGAAGCUUGCUUUCCGGAAAACUUCAUCAGGUUUUAUGUGUUUUAGUUUCCUUAUGAAAGAAUUGAAAAUCGUUAUUGAUAGAGUGAUUCUAGUUAUUGGAAAAUUGGAAUACUUAUUUUGCCAGUGUAGUCCUCUUUAGAUGAGACCUUAUUCUGAUAGGAGUAUUUCUCAAGUGGAAGUUCCAUACGUGCUAGAUGAUCUUCACUGUCAGUUAGAGCACUGAAGUGUGCAGCAUCUCUAUAAACAUACUUAAGUUCAGGUAGCAAGGAAGAAAGGAUGUAGAAAACAAUUGAGAAUAUCAAAUUUUGCAGUUAAGUUCUGUUUUACAGGAAAAAAAAUGAGUUUAUGGACCUUACAGUUUGAGACACUUUGCAAAUUAAAGUAAACUUGUUUUUUCGGAAUUGUAACUCUGGUGAAGCUAACAUACAUUCUUGCCAGUCACAUAUGUGAUUUGUUACUAGUCUUUUCAUCAAGUUAUACAAAUCCAACAAGUCUUUCGGCUGUCUCUCUUAAAAUAUAUUUUUUGACUAGUUCUAAAUGAGAAGGGGAGUCUUGGAGUAACUGGUAAAGUUGCUGCCAUGUGACCAGGAGGUCACGGGUUCAAGCCUUGGAAUCAACCUCCGGUAGAAAUGCAAGGUAAGGCUGCGUACAAUACACCCUUGUGGUGGGGUCACCGCGCAUAAUGGUAGCUUUAGUGCACCGGGCUGCCCUUUUUUUAGUUCUAAAUGAUCUUCACCUUUUCUUUCGUGUAUUUUAAUGUUGUCAUUUGACCAGCUCUUAAUUAUUGCUACUGUAAUGUAAACUGCAUUUUUUCUGAUUUUGAGCUGGUACCUCCAUUUAACGGAAUCCCUUCUCACGAAUUCCAUAUCAGCAAUCUCAUCCCAGCUAACAUCUUUUCCAAUUUCGUGGAUUAUCACCAAGGUCUUCUUUCUACCGUUCACUGCUAAAAUCCAGCUACAUCUACCAUGAACAUUAAAAUUUUGGAAGACGAAGUACGAGUAUAUCUGAUCAAUGUUCCUCCAUCUCCUACAGAUUUUCCCGGUACCUCUUGAAGUGCAAGUCUCAAGCAUUUGUAAAAACAAUGAUGUUGAAUCUAUGAGCAAAUAUCUUAUGGACUAAGUUCUUGUUCCUCUCUAUGAGCUUGCACCAAUUAUCACCAAUUUCCUUGAUUUUGAAGGAUUCAUCUCCAGCCAAAGAAGACAACUCUUUUCAACAUGAUGGCUUAUUUGCGUUGCCACUAUCAUCACCUUUCUCGUUGUUGUUGUUCCCUUCGUAAGUGAAGCCGGGCAGGCGCUUUAAGAAGGUGCCAGUUGACUACUAGUUGUAUUGGAUCUUACAUCGGUUCUAGCACUUUCUCUUUAUUCUAUUUUUGAAGAUCUUUCCUUGCUCUGAGGAGUGCCCGGUUUAACCAGAAUCAUCUCGUUAGCUAGCUUUUAGAGUCAUCCCGGGAUCUUUGGCUUAUGCCAUGUGCUCCAAACUUGAACUCAACUUCCUUUUUUCACCAACAUCCGCUUCUCGCUUCUCACUCAAGAAACUCAAGAAACUGGUGAAAGUCUUUUCCCUUUGCUGUCAAGGCUUAACGUACUCAAUGAUUGUAAUAGAACUAAUAAAACUUAAGAAUGAAAUAGGCUAGAACUUAUGAGGACAAAGACUGAAAAAACUGUUUGAUAGAAGAAAGAGAAUGGAAACAGAUAGAGUAAGCUGAAAGGACAAAAAAGAGAAGAAAUAUUUAAUUGGAGUAUAACGUCAGGAAUGACACAGAAAAUGAUCGGAGAGAUUGAUUAUUGAUAAAAAAUUAGGUUAGAGUUGCCAGAGAAGGAGGUUGGUCGACAAUUACGUUCUGCAAGGAGAGAACCAGUCUUUGUAUUUCACUUGGUUCCGCAUUCCUCUAUCAUAUACUUCAAGUUGGUGGGGCUUUUUAUAAAGUGUGUUACAAAGUCCCACUCCAAUUAGAAGCAGUCAAUGAUAGCACUGCACCGUUUCCAGGUUACCAGUUUAAUAUCACAGAGAGUUCAACUUCAGUAAGAUCGUUGAUAAAUGUAAAUGUGAUGAACAACAUCAAAGUCAAUCUUGUUUUGGAGGCCUAGUUUUCACCUAAUAUUACUUCAUUUUUUUUCUGUUCAACUAAAGAUAAUAUUUUCCCUAUUUUUUUUAUUUUUUUCAUGUUUAAUUGAUUCUAACAGUAACAAAUAUCAUUUGUAACAGAGCAGUGGUUGUUUGUAAUCCUACAAUAAGUCCAAAUUAAGUUCCUCACUUCACGAACCAGUGAAAGAUCAGAACAUCAAUAUCAGGUGAUAAUUAAAGCUAAAAUAUUGGAGGACUUUUGGAGAGCCAGCACGUGUGGCAUGGACAAAAGUGUAGGUAAGUCGUUGGUAAUCAACUCAUCCGUUAGUACAUCUACACCGACACAUGAUGGUUAUGCGACUGCAAAUCCAAACAACCCUGCUGAAUAUGUAAAUCAUGGUAAAUUUGAUUCUCCAUUGUGCAUCCAUGUUUUUUCUUGUGUUAACUUUGCUGUUAGGCGUACCUCGGUGUUUUGUGGAAAGCACACUUGCUGGUUUAUACAAAUGGUUGAUAAAUAGGUUAAUUAUGUAAGUGAAUGAAUUUAGAUAUUUGAUCUUAUAUGGUGAAAGCAAUAAUAAGGUUUUACUGUUAAAUUUGGUCACGUCUGGUUUUGCGCUUGUUUUGGGGCUGUGGAGUAUUUUAUCUGAACUUUUGAAGAAACUUGUGAUAUGAAAAAGAAUAAUUACUACUUAGUUUUUCAAAUAUCAAAUAUCCUAACCAUGGUGAUGUUGAUGUUCCAGAUUAAGUUCUGUCAUGCUUUUGAGAGUGAUGAAGAUAAUAGGUCCAUCUCUGUUACGUUCUAUUUUAGACUCCAUAUGUUGUUUUAGGCAUUUGGCCUAAACGUAAUGGCUCUCCUGUCAUCCUCUUUUAGAGGUCUAUCUCACCAAUUAUUUCUUGUACGCAUUUUCUGCAGGACUACAUCUCUGGAACCAAAUCAGACAGCAGUGGAUAGGACACAAGAAAGCUGUCAACCAACCGCAUCAGCUUUGUGAACCUAUACUAAAGUGAGGUUAUGUGCCUAAGAUUGUUGAUGGAUCCCUUUUUGUCUGCAUUUCCUCUAAGGAAUUUUAGCUUUGCAGUUGGAAUGCUACGUACGAUAGUUUGUUUGGGAGCAACAAGCCAUUGCCCGAGCCUACCCCGCUUGCUGUGAGUAUGCAUGAAAGUUAAAGGAGUCGAUGCUCCUCAUAUUUCUGUUCGAAUGACACUAUGAAUUCUCAUAUAAAACCUGCAGGAAAUGGUAGAUUUCCUUAUGGAUUUCUGGGAGCUAGAAGGACUGUACGAUUGACAUAUUGUCGGCGACGACUAUUUUGUUGAUGAAUGAUGACCGAUGUAAAUUUGAUUUGCUUAGUGUCUAGGGAGUACAAGUUUACUGAUUGAGUUUCUGUAUUGAAAUGUAAUCUAACUCCAGGCAAACUCGGAGCAUUUUUUUACCGCAACCUAAUUUAAUGUGUGGCUUAAUUUUAAGGAACCAGAAAUGCUUAGUUACAGUUUGCUUAAGAGAGUUAUGUAACGUUUGCCUGUUUGAACCAAAACUAUUCAUAGCGCUUAGAGGAACCUAUUUUACAAACUGCAAAUUUCAUAUUUAGUUAAUUAAUAAAUUACUCCAAAUGUUUUUCAAAUGGAUUAAUAUUUCCAUGAGAUAAUUUUUUGAUGUUUUCUAAAGUAAUUUGAGUCCUUCAAAUUGGAGUUGGUACUGCUUUUACUACCUGAUUUGUUGAUCGUUUUGACAAAUAAAACCUACAGCCAAACCAAUCGGUAUAAAUCUAAGCUUUAGCAGUGAAGUACUGGUAUGUGAAACGACACAACCUUUUCCAGAGAAAGCUAUGUAAUAAUUGUCAUGUAGCCUGCUCGUAUAGUCUUGUAUGUGAAACAGUUGCUACUUAAUAUAAGUGCUUACUUUCGUUAUUCGUCUCAAAUUAUGUGUCGUAUUUCUUUUUCAUGCGCUCUUUAAAAAGAAAAUUUUGACUUUAUCCUUAUUUAUGUCUUGAGUUAUAAUCUUUCUUCAUUGAAUAUUUACUCUAUUCAUGUGUCAUCACCCCAUAAUUAAGGUAUUUGUAAUUUUAAAAAACAAUUACUCCCUCUAGUUCAAAAUAAGUAAAUUUUUGAGCUACUUUUCAAUAUCCAAAAUAAGUGAAUUAUUCAUUCUUGAAGAGACGUGUUAGAAAUUUCUUUCAACUUUUAUCCUUCAUUUACACUCUCUUUCUAGGUUAUAAGUUCAAAAAGACCUAAUUGACUUUAUUUUAAGGCAGGGGUGGAGCUACACUAAGCCGNNNNNNNNNNNNNNNNNNCCUUCGGCGAAAAAUUAUACUAUUUAUACAUAAUUAAAAUUAUUUUUUAUGUAUAUACAGUAGAUGUUGAACCCCCUUCGAUUAGUUCGUAGAUAUACUUCUGAACCCCCUUAACGAAAAUCUUGGCUCCACCACUGUUUUAAGGUAACUGAGAUUUCAAGAGCAGUUUGACAAUAUUUAAAAGAGAAAUGGGAAGUAAAGUACAAUUUAUGUCCUAAUUUCUUUUCCUCAAUAGGUGAGCAUUGAGACAAAAAUUCACUUAUUUUGGACUAGAGGAAAUAUUAUUUAGGGUAAAUUGAGGAAAAAAUAAUUACUUUUAUCUGGAGAUUUAAAAUAAUAAAUAAUUUGAGACAACUAUUUUAGAAAUCACGAUAGAUAAAUUGAGAGAAGGGAGCAUUAUAGUCGUGAGAUAAGGAUAUAAUAAUCUCGGGUAAAAUUUGGCCGAAUAAAAUUUGGAAUUAACUGUACCUCAUGUUUGGAUUGAGCUAUUAGCUAAUUUCUAAAUUAUUUUAUCUCACCAUUUAUACUAAAAUGACUAAAUUACAAUCUUAUAUCGAAGAUGAGACAAAAUAUUCACAUAAAAUAUCUCAAUCCAUGAAAUAUGUUAUUUAUCUUUUCUGGCAUACUAAAAUAAAGGUCAUGAAACCUUUCCAGCUUUUCACAUCUAUACUUCAUUUCGGGAGACAGUACUAAUUCGGAGGUGAAAUGGAAGUCAACAAUGAACUUAUUUUUACUAUAUUUUGGUCACAAAGUAUAGGUGCAUGAGUUCAAAGAUGAAUUAACUCCUCCAAGGACUAGACAGUCUACGGUCAGUGUUGGUUGAUCCAUAUCAUAAAAAGUUGUUCAAUUUUGUGUAGGUGAACCUCGAAGUGUGAUGUGUUAGUAUAGUAAAGAGGGCAUUUCAAAAAUCCUAGGAAGUUGUUAAAAUUUACCCUUUGAAAUUGAAUAGACAAGGAUUAAACUUACGAGGUUUGAUAGAACGCAUCCUACUAUUUGCAACAAAAGUUCAAUUAGCAUCAUUUUUCAUAGAUUUAUUAAAUUAGUACUAUUUUUAUCCUACUUUCUCCACCCAAUUUAUGUAAUUCAUUUCGAAUGUGCAUGAAAUGCAACGGAAGUGAACUUUUAAAAUUUGUAAUCUAAAAUAAGAUAUAAGACAUAGAGAAAUGAAUGGUUAUAAAUCCUAUGGUAAGUUUUUGAACUUUCUUUUAGAACAAACCCAAAAAUAAGUAUUUAUCAUGACAUAAAUUAGUACAAAGAAAUAUUUGUCUCUGAAGCUGUGAAAUAGACACGGGGGCAGUUUGACGUUACUCUAUCCUGCCAUUUUUGUUGAUUCAUAUUUGGCUUGACACAUUCUUAAGAAACAAUAAAUAAAGAGAUAUUAACUUUUACUAUGUUACAGUUCCACUUAUUAAUUACAAGUCUUCUAAGUAUUAUAAGAAAUGAAUGUAGUAAUAUUUAAUAACAGGGUAAAAAUAAAUUCAAAAUGAUAAAUUAUUCUUUAAUUUUUUAAACUGAAUAAGUAAAGAUGGAGAUGCUCAAAUAGGUCAUAGCAGGUGCAACAUUUCCGAGGAAGAUGCGGAAAAUUAGGAGUAGUCAUCAGUGUACUAUAAUUUCAAUGUGAAAUGUCAAGUGAUUUGGGCAGCAGAUCAUAGUAUUGUCCCUUCUUCAGGAAACAGUUCUCCAUCUUGUCUCACCAUAAAUACCAACCUUUCAUCAUCCCAUAUGUAUAUUGCAAUACUCAUCUAAAGUAGAAACAAACUUUCAUUAUUUUGCUAGCUGCUAUAAUUGAGAGGUUCACAAGUUAUAUACCUAUGGCCCUAUCAAUCUGGAACUCCUUACUUGGACUUACAUUCGCUCUUUUUUUGUCUCUACCAUUUCUUCCAGCUUGCCAAUCAGGUGAACUCUUCGAUUUUCUUCUUCUCUAUGCAUGGUAAGACUUGUUUCUACUUGUAUAAAUAGGAAAAUUUCAUAUGUAAACGAGAUGAACAAAAUUUACAGUCUGUAUUGUUCGAUCGAUAACAAUGGCGGAUCGGAGGAAGUUAAACUGAAUCACCUUUGUCGGAGAAUUACGCUGCGCAAAAAGAUAAAACAAUUGUUUUGUACAUACACAUAUAAAAUAUUGAGUCCAAUCCCCUGACAUGGAUUCGUAUAUUAGACUUAGUCGUUUUUGUUACGAAACGUUUUGAAUUCCUUUAUUUAAAAUCCUAACGAGGUACUAAUAUAAUUGGAGUUGUGUUUGUACAGCGAGUAUGGCUAGGCGGAUGGCGAUAGGGUCAAAGCCACCAGCUUGUGUAAACAAGUGCAUGAGUUGCCAUCCAUGCAAGGCAACUCUAGUCAUUUCAGCGGGCCAGAAGAACAAGGGCGGCCGCCCUAAUAGUUAUACUGAUCCAUCUAGAAGACAAGCUGAUGAUACUUAUUAUCUCCUCUCUUGGAAAUGCAGAUGCAGAGAUCAGCUCUUUCAACCUUGAUUCAGUAACUAAGCCCUAUAAGCUAGACAUAUUUAAUUAUAUACAUCAUCAUGGGUACUGCAGCUAGUGUUUUAGUAAAUUAAUUAAACACUGAUUUUGUACUGAAUCUGGAUGAUAAAUAUAUAAGGAUACAUGCUUAAUUAAUUACUUGAGUCCUAAUUGAGACACAGAGUUUAUGACAAUUUAGCGUACUAAGAUGGAGGGACAAUUAAUUUGUAAUAUGCAGCCAACCUAAAUUUUUCUGUCCAACAAGAAAUACUAGUUAGACACCAAAACAAUUCGAUAUCUUGCCCCUCCAAAUCACCAGGAUUUUGGCUCAUCAGUGUCAUCACACAGGUUUUCAAAUUUUAAAAUCAAGUUAACCAACUAAAUUUAAGUCCUCAGAUAGAACUUAGUAGACGUUUGAACAUAGAUUUCAAAUAUUUUUUACUUUUUUCUUUUAGAAUUCAUGGAGUUAGAGAUGAAAAUGAAGUUGUAUUUGGUUUUCAUUUUUGCAAAGAAUAUUUGGAUUACUGUUCAUACUUGAUUGUAGUUAAAUACAAUUUCAAAGUUGAACAAGUAAUUAAUAAGUUAUGUUUCAAAUUCAAAUACAACUUCAAGUUAGAUUUGAAUUUUUCACGGCCAAAUGUUAAAUUUCACAUAUAUAAGUUGAAAAAUUAUUUCAAAAAGACUGAUUUUUAUAGCCAAGCGAAUCCUUUUUUAUUUUUUAUUUUUGUGUGUGUGGGGGGGUGGGGGGAGGGGGUUCAAGAUAAUAUGCUUAAUAGCAUUACAACAAAAUGGAAUGGAGCACUGGAGGCAUUAUGCUCAUUCAAUCUACACAUCUCCGAUUUGUGUCUAACCAAAUUAGUAAUUCCUAAUUUGUAUAUCGUACAUGAACAAACAAAGGAGGAUCUUUAAUACAAAUUUAUUGUUCGUAUCGAAACGUGAUAUUAUUUUUUGUGACAUGAAAACUUGUGCUUCUUUAUCCUGAAGUGACGUGAUUUUUUGGAUGGAUGCCACGGGGUCCAUCAUUUUUGUAUCAUCUUUUUAAACGUAGAAGUUAUGCUGGCUCUUCUUCCUUUUUGCUAAACAGAUACUUGUUAUUACCCGAUGAUCCGUCAUGUGUCUGUUGCUGGUGUAGUAUCUAUUAACUCCAUUAUCUUGCUUUGAAGGGGGAAUUUUUUCCAUGAGAAAGAAUCGAAUGUAAAUUAAGCACAAUUACUAUACGUAUAUUUUACUUAUUAAAAAUAUUACUAAGAAGAAAUAUAAUAUAAUUGCAACAAAUAAACCAAUGUUUACAAUUAUACGAUGAUUAAAGUUUGAAAAUAUUUAAUUUAGAAGCUGAUUUUUUUUUUUAUUUGUUUCGCUUCUACACUUUAAAGUGAGUGUAUCUAUAUUUGUUGCCAUGUCAAUAUUCAAAGGAUUCAAAACUGUAAAAUCAUCAAGUUUACGUGAUUAAUUAGAAUAAAAAGAGCGAUUCAAAUAUGCACCUGAUGAAUAACGUUAAAAUUCAAGAGGUUUCGAGAUAUUAUACUUGAAAUUAUUCCAAAAUCAAAAUAGUUAUACAAUAGAGUAAAAAAUUAGUCCCAAAAGAAAGAAAAAGAGAAAACGAGAAACAAGAAAAAGACCAUAAAGAAUAUGGUUUAAUAGAUGAGAUCAUUUCUUUCUUAAUGAAAGAUUUUGAUUUUAAAGUUUUAGGUAUGAAUUUAUUUUUUUUUUUAAUAAAAAAAGCUACUUUCGAAUGAGUUCUAUUCCAUGAAUUUAAAUUAGCAAGACUUUAUUGUAGACACAAAAAUUGAAUGAGAAGCAAGAAUUUUUUUUUUAAUUCAAUAUAAAUUUAAAUUAAUCAAACUAUAUAUAUAUAUGUUGAGUCACCGAAAAAACAAGAAAGAGAUAAAUGAAAAAGGUAAACGUGUCAAAAUUAAGGAGAUGUGUAGCAAAUUAGUCCUAGUGGUGCUACUUUUGUAGGCAAAUGAGCCCCCCUUUACCAAAAUUCAGGUAACAAAAUCAGCAAAAAUGAAAUCGUGGCUCGCUCUCAAGAACAUUCACUAUUCACCGCCAAAUUUUUCCACUUCCGCCUCCAAUUCCGUAACGCCACCGCGCCUCUGUUCGCCCUCCACUUCUUCUAACCUUCGAUUCUCUUCCUUUAUGAUAAAUUUACAAAGCUCAAUAACCCACUCCUCUUCUUAUCCUAAUACGUCUUCCGGCCGCUGCCGAGCUACUAGUGCUGGACCACCUUCGCCUCCACAGACCGAACCACCUGAUAACGACGAAAACUCAUCAUCGUCUCCAGGUAGUCGUAGCUCAUUUUUGUGUAUUUCUAUUGCAAUUUUUGUUCCCUCAGUUCACUUUUACUUUAUCAUGUUUCGCUUAGAGAGUCAAACUGCAUGAAUUUUGACAUCUUAUUAAUAUGAGAAGAAUUGCAACUUAUAGUAUUUUUUGUAUUGUUUUGUGAAUAUUAAAUUUUAAAAUUUAAAAUAUUGAAUUAAUAUAAUUCAAUUUAGCUUCAAAGAUUAGUCAAAUUAAACUCGUGUAAAGCGAAACAUGAUACGUGAAAGUAAACGUAGGAUGUAGUAGCUAGCAUCUUUUAGUAACAAUUGUACUAUGUUAGAAACGAGAUUCAUAUCGUGAACUAUAUUCUUAGACCAGGUUUUAGUUUCAAUAUGUAUUUGGGUAGAAAGCACACCGUCGUUUUUCUUUGGGUAGUAGGAAUCGCCUAUUUGACACCGGGAGGUCGCGAAUAAAUUGGGGAUAAGAGCCAUAUCUGCUUAGAUGUGUAUUAUAUCUGUUAACAAUUAGAUUGAUUUAUCACCAAUUCCUUGUAAAAUUUUGUAAUAACUAGCUUUUGAAAAGUUUGUCAUAUAUAGAAUAUUGCCUUUAGUUUCAACUGAUUUCAUCAGACAAGUUGAAAAAGUGUGUUCGAGUCUCAGAUUGUGUCUGUGGAACAAGUUGAAAAAGUGUGUUUGGGUUUCAUAUUUACAAGGAUAGAAGGUGUUGGAAAGUCUGAUGCAUCUUGGCUUAGGGUAGUAUAGUUAUAUGAAUCCUUCAAUACCCCUGUUACAUUGACACAAAAUGGAUGUGGCUGUGUGAUAUAUACCGGAUUUUAUCUAUUAAUAUAGAGUGUGUUGACUAUCCAGGAACUAAGAAGCAUAGGGUGCUUGUGUUGUUUGGUUUCACUUGUAUACAUAAAACCAAACUUACAUACUCUAUAUAUACAUACAUAAUUGCAUAACUAUUAGAAUAUUUUUUCUUUGUAUGAGAUAUGCUUAUGGAAUAAAAUAUUAGGUGCUUGUAGAAUUUGGAUAUACUUAUUUUGGUUCAAUAUCUUUUCAAUUAAUUAUUGUACAUUUGAUUUCUGCAUUCAGCACACCUGAACUCCUUUCCACGCCCCUUAUCCUGAGUGUCAGGUGAUAAAUCAUCCCACCCAUAAAUUAUACCUGCCCCUGUCCAUUUAACAUAGCUCUACGGCAUACAGUGUAGCAAAUGAUAUGCUAAAUGGGAUAGCCAAAUGUUGGUCUGCAGGAUACAACCAUCAGAGUAAACUGAAGAAUAUGGAUGACGAACACAAUAAAUAUGCCAUAACUUGGAGGUUAUUGGUUGGAAUGAGCUGAGUACUAUCGUCAUUAAUAAAUUGUGGCCAAUGCACUUUUAUUUUCAGAUUCCCUUUAACCAUUUCUGAAAUGAUCAGUUCGCAUCAUUAACAGAGAUAAGGCAUUGCGAGGCCAAACAACCCGUACCGUAUAGUUAUAAUGUUUCAUUCACAUUGUAUCAAGUUGAGUAAUUGUCCAAUGAAUAAUUUGUGUCACUUGCUCAAUAACCUGAAACAAAUAUUGUUACAUCCUUUUAUCGUUCUUCCUUUCUUUUUUGUAUGUUAUUUUGGGGUGUGUAAAAUGCAGGUAAAUAUAUCAGGCAGCUGUUUUAUCCGUUGUAAUGAUAUGUUCCAAUGACAAGGACUCAUCAGUAUUAGUAUUGGCAGGCAAAAAAUAGUAAAAUUUCGUGCUUCGCCUGAAAUGUUAUUCUUUUUAAGUUUAAUGGCUUAGCAUAGCUUUUCUGCUUUGCUAUUGUUUUUGGGUCCCAUGGUAGAGCUGGUUUGUGCUCUGAAUGAAGGGAUCUCCUCGUACAUUAUUUGUAAAUUGAUUGUACGAGAUGCUGAUGGUCAAGACUUGUGAUAAUUUGGAAAGUUAUGAUGAUUGAGUAUGUCAAGAACUUUGACGUUGUUUACUUUUCUUCUCAAACUAAUUGAAGUCUCCUUUUUCUUGAGCAUAUGCAGUGACAGUGCUCAUAUUUUUAAGGAUCCUUGACAAAUGUUUAAAUUUCUUAACCAGGUAUCAUGGCAUCUUUCUCGAAAGCACAAGACACCAUGCGGAUAUUUUUUGCUGUGUUAUUCUGGAUGUCACUUUUCUUCUGGUAUUCUGUGUGGGAUGGAAAGAAUGAUGGCAGACCGAACAAGGGUUCUCGAUUUAGAAGAUAAAAUUGUAAGAAAAUUCUUUAUGGUGUCAUGUACAAUUAACUCCUGAUGUUGUCUUACGCUAUAGUGUAUAGCAUGGGAGCAUAAGGGAAAAAAAGAAAAAGAGGAGAAAUUUAGUGUCUAAAGCUGUUUAGAGUUGCUGAAAGAAUGGAGAUAAUUCUCUCUACUUCACUAAAAGGUAGUUUAGAGCUCCUUGUUAGCCAAGCUAGCAUCAGUUCAUUCAUGCUGUGAUUUUACUCCUUUAGAGCCUUGAGAGUAAAAUCUUCUGUACAAUUAUAUGGGAUUAGAGUCUGUGGCAGUGCUCCUUAUAUUCUUUCAUCUUAGGUAAAAUAAUACGUUUCCCUGUCUUGUUCAAGAACUUACGAGCUACUCCAUGUUUUCUUCCAUCUUGAAUUGAGGAAUACCUUUUCCUGUCUUGUUUAAGAACUUAUGAAAUAGAGUGUUUUUUUGUAAAGCAAAGCAAAGUUUUCUUCUCUCUAUUUCGUGGUGUGUGUUGGUUUGAAUUGAAAACAAAACCUUAAUAAUUAUUUGUUUUUGCUAUCUAAUAUCAGAGCUAUUGGACUUCACAUACUGUUUUAAAGUAGUUCCCUUAAGGAAGUUUUGAAAAUAUCAGUUCCACAAAUACCAAUGUAUCUUCAUUUUCUGAAGAUCACAAGCUUCAUUAUCUUUCCUUACCUUUUUAAAUCUUGAUACUGAUCUAGUAAGCCAAGGUUAAUUCCUUCAGCAUAUCUGCAUGGUAUGAGAUAGGAAAAUCGUGUGGUAGUGGCUUUCAUCCUUGUGAAGGGAAAAGUUGAUUUGUACUGCGUAUCUUAGGGCAGAACAUAUUGUUUUAUUUGUGAAAGAAGAAUUUUGAGCUAUUGAGAUCAAAUGAGGUGAAGCAAUUAUUUGCGCCCUUUGUGAAUGUGGUGUGUACUUUCUUUUCUCACAGAGCUAUUUUUGCUCGUGAUUCAACGUAAAAUACUUGCUCAUCUUCCUGGUUUUUGAGUAAUGUGGUUUAGUACUCUUAUUCAAAUAAGACUUGCUUGUAAGACUAUAAAUACCAAGUUCUAGAUGUUGCUGUUUGAAUGUGAUAAACAAGAAAAACAGCUUGGGAUGUAAGCUGUACUGGAGUUGCUUUAUUACUUCUCAUUGUGUCUGUUUAAUAUCUCUUUGCCUGUAGUUAUAAAUGAAAUAAAAAAACUUUACGCGUCAGACAAUUAUUCUUCUCUUUUCUGUUGCUUCUCCUACUGUGAGUGAAUGGAACUAUAAGAAAUUCUUGAUGACCAAGCAAGAUACGUGUUUUUAAGUUUACAUGUGCUUAGAGUCCUCAGGCUGUUGGCAUAAGACCUAAGGCGGAAAUAGAGUACUGUUCUUUUUGAAUACGACAAUGAUGGUUUAUUAGGAAGGCCAUCUAGGAAGUAAGAGAGAAAGUUAGAUUUGUGUUCCCAAUACUGCAAAUUUGCGCUUGAAAGGGCAUAAGCUGCCUACUUUUUAUUUGGGGAUAUUUGUUUGAACUCUUGGUAUAGGGGUAUGAAUGGAACUGGAAACUCGUAGUGAUGGAAGACAGCAGAACUUCCAUCUGUACACUAAAAGCAGGACCAUCAUCCUCUAGUGCCAGAAAAGGGAAGAUAGGUAUAUUCUUGCAGUUAAAGACAGGGCAGCUGGUCCCCUUCUGGUACCUUAAUUUGGCAUUCCCUGUUGCAUUAUUGAUGUCUGGCUAGCAAACAUCGAACGAACCAACUAUUAGUCUAGUCCUAAUGUGGUUCUUAAUGCUUUUGAUUGUCAAGUGUUUGUUAAAUGGUUAGGUUGAACCAUCGUCAACAGCGACCUCCUUAACUGUACUUUAGUAUUGUGUUAUUCGUGCAUCAAAUGUGCCAUCAAACCCCCCAAAAAUUCCAGUUAUAUUCAGAUGGAAUCUGGUGUAGAAUAAUUGAGAGGCUCGUGAAUCUUUGGAGUGUUCAACCUGUGUAAAAUUCCACGGAUUUUAAUGUUUCGACACCGGUCAGUGGAAACUUAAAGAAGGAAAUGAAGAGGAAUUUCUUGUUCUAGUCGUUGUCAACUUGCAAAAAUAAUCUGUGUCAAUUUGCAAUUACGUGACUUGUGCGCUAACUACAUUGCUAGUAUUGAAUCAUUUGUGGGGAAGGUGGAGCCACUUUGUCCCAAAAUAUCAUCUCGUCUUCAUACUUCUGAUUUGAUGUUAUUAACUUUAUGAACCUUUCUCAUUAGUUGCUGGGUGGGUGAUACAGAGAAUUUUAGAAACCUAAAUUGCAAUCUACAAGUUACAAUUUCUUAUACAAGAAAAGGUGUCUAAAAAGGUUACAACUACAACAAACCUAAUAUAUUCCCACAAAGUGGGGGUCUGGGGAGGGUAGAGUGUACGCAGUUCGGUGGAGAGACUGUUUCUGAUAGAUCCCCGGUUCAAAAUUAAAGAUAGUAUACAAAAGUAUCAAAAGCAAGGAACAUGAUAAAAUAACAUAGGUAUCUUCAUCCACAAAAGAUUGAUUGUACAUUGUCAAACAAAGAACACCAAAGUCCAUCUAAUUACUGGCUACGACUCAUCCAUACCCUUAAGCCCUCUAUCCUAAUAUUUUUCCUAGGUGUCUAAAAAGGUUACUGUAACUAAUUUGUCCCGAGUAUGUAACAUAAAGAUGGAACAAACGCAUAUGCUAUUGUAUCAUCGUCCAUUCUUCUGGGCCGCAAAUUCUCAAACAGUGAACACAUGUGGCUGACAUUGGCAAAUAGUCAUUUUUUUGACAAUGAUAGAAAAAAUAUCUCAAGUUAAAAUGUGGAAAAACUUAAGGAAAAUUUUAUUGGAACUUGAACAUUUAUCACUUUGAAUUCCAUGAAUUGUUCGUGGAGUUUGCAAUUUCAUUUUCGUACUUAAAUUGUGAAAGUUUGAACUCCAUGAGUCGUUCACGUAGUUUGCCUUUAGAAGGCUUGAACUUCAUGAAUUGCUCACGUAGUUUACAAGUCUAAACAAAUUUUUAUACUUAGCAUGAAACCAUGUCAAAAUUUGACAAUUCACUUGUACAAGUCUAAACAAAUUUUUAUACAUAGCAUGAACUGUUUUUGGAGUUUGAAUUGAUAAAAGGUUUGAAUCCACAAAAUCAUUUAUGGAAUUUUGAACUAGUACCCAUUAUGUCUUAAUUUACCUGAUAUUCUUUUUUAAGUUGGUUAAAAUAAUGACACAAUUUUAUAUUUAAUGAUAAUUUAACUGAAAUUCUUUAUUUUACUAUUAAUGAGAUGAUUUGUUGUCAAUAAAUAUUCAUGAUCUUCUUAAAUUUGUAUCUGAUCAAAUAUCUUCAUGUGAAUUGAAACGGAGUGAAUGAUUAGCAAACUAACCAAUCUGCUACGUAAUUUUUACAUCAAUGAUCGUAGGACCACCUAGAGUGCAAAGGCCCAAUCAUAUUUGUAGCCGAGAGAACUGGCCCUACAACAGCAUGGUUAAUUUCGGGAAAUUAUCCCAAGUGUUUUUCAAAGUGACCGAUUUUUAUUUUUUGUCCCUUGAAUAUUAGACGUUGAAAUUUCGUUCUUCAAAUUGUGUGGUCUUAAAUUCUGUUCUUAUAAAUAAAUUCUACUAUUUAUCUAGAAGUUUUAUAUAUAAGACAGAAGUUUUGGUCAAUUGUAUAAGUUCACUAUUUUAAAAUGUCCCUUAUAGUCAAGAGUUACAACAUAUAUUUUAGCAAAAAUUACAAUAUCUAUCUUAUAUGUAAUAUAUAUAAAUUUAAAUUUUUUAAUUAAUUCUACAAUUUAUUACGUUUGUAUUAUGUUUAAGAAUUAUUAAAGGAGGAUAUCUUUUUCUAGAGGGACAAAAUAUGAAAGAUUAAUAAUAUCCGAGCAUUUUAACGUAACACACCGGGGCAUAGGAAACUCACUUGUAGGAGGUGGUCGUCACAACCAAAAUACAUCAUAUUUCAACAUGCAAAUAUUACUCUGAGGCAUACACCUCAUGUAUUAUGUAUAUAUCUCUGACUUUUUGUCGUUGUUGCAUGCGGAGUAUUUGUGCCAAUCAACAAUUCUACAUUUAUUCCAAUCACCAAUUUCUAUUUUUGUUUCUAUAAAACCUUUCCAAUCAUAUAGCCAACCACNNNNNNNNNNNNNNNNNNNNNNNNNNNNNNNNNNNNNNNNNNNNNNNNNNNNNNNNNNNNNNNNNNNNNNNNNNNNNNNNNNNNNNNNNNNNNNNNNNNNNNNNNNNNNNNNNNNNNNNNNNNNNNNNNNNNNNNNNNNNNNNNNNNNNNNNNNNNNNNNNNNNNNNNNNNNNNNNNNNNNNNNNNNNNNNNNNNNNNNNNNNNNNNNNNNNNNNNNNNNNNNNNNNNNNNNNNNNNNNNNNNNNNNNNNNNNNNNNNNNNNNNNNUCCUCUAAAGGAGGGCCGCGGAAGUUGGUUACUCUGCAUUUUCUUCUUCUUAAAAACAUUAAUCAAAUCUGCAAAUCCAUCAAACCCAAAAUUAAUAAAAAUGCUGUUGAGAAGCUCAUCAAGCCCUUUGUUGAAUUCAUGGAAACCGAAAUCAUGCGGGUCAUCACCCGAAUCCGACUUAUUACCCAUUACAACCCAACAAUUGAUCCGAACCCGAUCGGUGUUAAUGUCGACGUCGUUUGGUCCCGAUGAAUCUCCGACGAAGCAUGCACCGAAUCGGUCUCGAGAUCCGGCUGUUCAGAAGAAGAACAUAAACGGGUCGAAGAGAGAGGUGAAAACGAUGGUGCCGGCGAAGCUGGGGUCCACAGGAGUGAGGAUAUUGUUAUCGAAUUCCGGGUUGGGGAAGUCGGAGGAGGAUAAAGAGAGGGGGUUGAAGACUCUGGUGGCGGGUGGUGUUGGUGGUGGAGGAGGAGGAGGAGGUCGAGUUUGUGGUGGCGGCGGUAGUGGAGGGACCCGUGAUGGAGAUGGGUCGGGUUCUCAGGAUUCGAAUAGUUGGCAUGGGUACAAGAGUACUGAUGUUUAUUACCAGAAAAUGAUUGAGGCUUACCCGAGGAAUGGUCUGCUUCUUGCCAAUUAUGCCAGAUAUUUGAAAGAGGUAAAUCAAUUCUAAAUGAUAGUAUUUCAUUGCCAAUGUUAAUUAAUUCAAUAAAGGGGGAUUUAGAAUUUAUACUUGAUGGUUGUAUAUUUAAAGAUCUCAGCGCUCACUAUAUCUUUGAAAUUAUGGGUUCACAAUAUUGCCAUUUUGAUAGGAUCAAGACUUACCAUCAUGCCAAAAGCCAUGACGGAUAACGACGGCGUCAUGUUCGAUCAUGACUCUGGUACAUGCAACCCCAGCCCCUCGUGGGAUUGCCAUAUGCAGGAUGUUGACGUUACCCAUCAAAUUUGAGAUUAUGGGUUCAAAUUUUGAUCUUUCACGUUUUCAUGUUGGGAUUAAGCCUUACCAUCAUAUGCCAAAAACUAUGGUUAAUAACAAGACAUCAACUUUAUUUCCUAUCUAAGCACACAAAGCAAUCGUUCUGUUCGAUUAUGACUCUGAUCCAGGAAGCCCCAACUCCCUCAUGGGGCUCGCCAUAUGCAAGAUGUUGGCGUUACCCAACACAUUUGAAAUUAAGGUUUCAAAAUUAUGAUUUUUCAUGUUUGCAAUUUGUUAGGAUCAAGCCUAGCCUUACUAUCGUGUCAAAACAUAUGACUGGUAGCAAAACACAAACUUUAUUUUUUAACUAAGGUGACCAAGUAAAGUAAGCGUCACGUUCCAUCCGGGCAACCUAGUCGCUCGUGCCCCCUGCCAUAUGCAGGAUGUUGGAAUUAAGAGUUAAAAAUUGCGAAAUUUCACAUCAAUUUAUCUGUCUAAAAUAACCUAUAGAACUAACAUUCAUUCGCCUCUGCCUUAUUUGUUUUUGUGUUGUUAAUUCCUUUAUUUACUAUUACCACUAUGGUUCUAUUGAUUCGUGGAACACGAACUAUUGGUAUAAACAGUUUAAGGGUGAUUUAAAGAAAGCAGCGGAGUACGGCGGAAGAGCAAUUUUAGCAAGUCCUAAUGAUGGUAAUGCGUUGUCAUUCUACGCUGAUCUGAUAUGGCAAACCCAGAAAGACGCAGCUCAUGCCAACACUUACUUUGAUCGAGCCGUGAAAUCUGACCCCGAUGACUGGUAUGCGUAUGCUCUGCAUCUCCUGUUUUAGAUUUGAAAUCUUUAAGUGGAACCUCCAAUUGAAUCCACGGGCCACUUUUUUUGUGCUAUUUGUCCACUCUCUUGGAAAUAUCUUGGUCGUCCAUUUGCCCGCACCAUCACAUAAUUGUGACCAUUUAUUUAAUAUAAGCUUAAGCAUUUUGGAAGAUACACUCUUAUUUAUUUAGCGGAAAAGGCUUAAAAAUACCUCUGAACUAUUUGAAAUAGCUUAAAAAUGCCCAUCAUUAGAUUUUUGGCUCAAAAAUACCCUUUCGUUAAAUAUUUGGCUAAAAAAUACCCCUUCCUUUAACGGAAUUCGGAAAAGGAUCAAAAAUACCCCUGAACUAUCUGAAAUGGGUCAAAAAUAUCCCUCUGUUAAAUAUUUGACUCAAAAAUACCUCCCUCUUAACAAAAUUAAAUUAUUUCAAUUAUUUCGUUAAUUUAUAUAAAGUUCAUCAUUUAAUUUAUAUUUCAGUAAUUUUUUAAGUGAAAAUUUAUAUUUCGUUAAUUUUCUUAAAGAUUAAAAAGAUGUAAAGUGAAAAUACCUUUUUAGAAUAAAUGUAUGUUUAUUUUUCAAAUCAAAUUCAAUCAAUUUAUAUUAUAAUUCAAAUGCUUUUUUUCAUUAUCUUAUUUUAAAAUUAAAAAAAUGCUUUUAUGUAAAAAAAUUAAAGUAUUAGGAUUAAAAAGUUAAAGUUAGGGUUUAAUUCAAUCGAAAUAAUUUAAUUUCGUUAAAGGGAGUAUUUUUGAACCAAAUAUUUAACAGAGGGGUAUUUUUGACCCAUUUCAGAUAGUUCAGACGUAUUUUUGAUUCUUUUUCGAAUUCCGUUAAAGGGAGGGGUAUUUUUUAGCCAAAUAUUUAACGAAAGGGUAUUUUUGAGUCAAAAAUCUAACGAGGAGCAUUUUUGAGCUAUUUCAGAUAAUUCAGGGUAUUUUGAAGUUUUUUCCAUUUAUUUAGUUAUAUCUUUCAACAUGUACCUCCCAUGUGAUUCUGAUUCUUUUUUCAUGGUCAUGAGCUCUUGCCUACUUAUGCUAAUUAGGCUCAAGAUUUAUUUCUUUAAUAUGAUAUCGGAGAAGGCAGAAAUGCUACUUCCCCUCAUUAUUUAAAAAUUUUAUUCAUGUUAGGCCAUGAAAAAGGAAUCAGACUCACACGUGUUAGGUUAAGCUUUUUAUUGAGAUGGUCAUAUACUUCCUGUUAAGAUUGUGGUGCGUGCUUUGUUUGUAUUUUAACGAGGCGAAUUGGUGUUAUGUCAUUAUUGCAGCUACGUACUAGCCUCAUAUGCUCGAUUCCUGUGGAAUGCUAAAGAAGAAGAUUUGAACGAGGCCGAGGAAGAAAAACUGAGUAAGCAAUUUGGUAUGCAGAAUGAGAAUUCAGCACCAGCCCCAAACUUCUUUAGCGCAUCCUCUCAUCGACCUCCCAUGACUGCUACUUCUUAAUUUAAUAAUAGCCUUUUCCAAUGUUAAUCAGACCUCUGCGCACAUAGUUUAGAUAACUAAUAAGCGUUCCUAGUAUAUAAAUAGCUAAGAAAUAGAGUUGCUCUCGACUAUGAAGAGUUUUCUUUCUGUCUCUUUUACAAGUACUAAUAAAACUUUGUAAUUUUGUGAUGUCUGAUAACCGGUAAUAUCAUUUGUACACUGAGUUGCUUCUCAAUAAAAGUUGUUUUUUAGUAUGAUGAGUGCUUCUAAUUUCCCCAAAACUAAAGUGUCAGGGUGUUCACUUGUAUAGCACAUUUCAGGGGAUUAAACUCCUCUUUAGAAUUUUUUGUUGUUGAUAACAGUGAGCUUAGCUGCACACGGGCAAUGAGUAACUCCUAUCUCCACUCCAUCGUUUGAAUGCGUCCCAUUGGAAGUUCAAUGAACUAAUAAUAUGUUUGGUUAACCUUAGACGAACUACACUGCUGUUUUCUUUCCUCCAAAUUGGUAAAACUCUUAUCAGACGUAGAAGCACUAUGAGCAACUAAAGAAAUCUCGUAUAUUGGAAGGAUGUAUAUCAUCUCUGAUUCCAAUCAUUGACGAACUUUACAAAUGCAUUUGUUUAGUUUCUUAAUAGGAUAAAUUAUUAUAGGCCCAUCAAUUAGACUGCUCUUUUACGUUUGGGCCAUUCUAUUGGGCUUCUAUUUCAUGGUAACCCGUGCUAAAACUAGCCCAAUAUAGACCUGGGCUACCACCAUAUUCUCGGAAGUGUUCAAUUCAGUUGAAUAAUGAGAAAAUCAUUAAUUACCAGAACUAUUUCCUUAUUCCGUUUUUCUUACAAGGUAAAUAAUUAAGAGAAUUAAACUAACCCCAAAACAGUUGAAAAGGGAAAUCUCCACCAAAGUAUUAUGCACUCUAGUAAUGGAAAUGUAAUCUUUUUGGUAAAGGAAAGAAGGAGUUAUUUGUUGUUUUAGAUCCGAGGCUCUAUCAAGAAGCCUAUUGGGAGAGACUACGGAGGGAGUGGUAGAAUAUGUAUAGCAAUUUUUUGUAUUUUUCAUGUUUUGUGUACUUUGACUACAAAAAUGGAGAUUUGCGUAAGAAAGAUGAGUUGCGAUUCCGGACCCGAAAAUGCAUGUUUAAAUUGAGUUAAUUAGCAUUUUGAGGAACGUUAUCCAAACAAACAGCAAGGCGUGGCACGAGAUCUGUGCUCAUGUUUAACAGGACCACAACAGCAAGGCGGUGCGUCUCUUUCACCGACAAAUCUAACGGUUACUAUUUCGCUGUGAAUUUAACACUCCCAUGUAAAGCGUGAUCUAUUGAUUGACAUAUAGUGCGCGUCGUUUCAUUAGGAAAUUCACCCAGCAGACGCCACGUCUCCAGCUCAUAAAUUAAAAUAUUAUUCACUGAAAAGCUUUUAAUGGACGAAUCUUAUCCGUCAAAUUUGACACAUGUAAUAUCAAGAUUGCAGAUUGCAGAGAUAAAGAUGUCCUGGGUAGCUUGUUAUGGGGGCACGUGUGAUUAAUUCGUUGCGUGUUUGAGUCGGUUGCGUACAUUUUGGGCGGCUUUAAGUAUCCCAGCUAGCUUGUGUUAGUCUUUUUAUCUUUUCUGAUGCAAAAACAGAGCUGAAUUUGGCUGAAACAGUGCAAGUAUAGUUUUUGAGUUUGAUCUUUGGAAGUAGAGAGUAAUGGAGAAGAAUCAAGUUUUGCCAGUUGAGCUUCCUGCACCUCCGUCUUGGAAGAAGCUGGUAUUUUUCUUUCUUUGACGAAAUGAUUCUAGUGUUGUUCCUUUUGCUUUAGCAGUCUAUGUUGGUUUCUUUACUGCGAUUUCAUCUUUGAUUCUAAUCUUUUGCUUGUCUUGAAUAUGCUGUACUGUUCUGUAUAUCGCCUCAAUUUGUUUCUUAUGGCUUUCAGUUUGUCUAUUUCUGUUUAUUUCGCUGUAUUUCAGAUGCUUGUCCCACUUUUUACCCCUUUUUUCCGUGACUGUAGCUUCCCGUCGAGUAAUUUCUGCUAGUUUUUAGCUUUUAUGUUUUUUUUACUUCAUUUAAUAUGGUGUACCAGAUAUAAGUGAGUUUUCUCUUGGUUGGAUUUGGGAAAGAUGGGAGUUGGUGAUCUGUUUAACAAGCAAGAUUAAGGCAACAGAGUUUUAAAGUUUUUUUUUUCCUUAUCAUCUGAUUGUUGAGAUUGUCGAAGUCUUGAAUAGUUUACUGGAGAACCGUAAAGAAAAAAUCUUGCUGGUCAAAUUUUUUUGGUUAUGUAUCAGCAGCUGAUUUGUAAUGUUGUAAAGGCAAGAAAAUCGUCUGAGCUCUUUGCAGAAAUUCCUGUCUUCCUAGUCACGAGAACCUUACCCUGAAGUGUGGGUGACAAUAUAGUGAAAUUAACGACAAUACAAUAAUUAUAACAUGAAUAAUAACUAAGCUAUUUUGGUGCUGUGUUUAAUUGGUCUGUUCAGGUGCUAGAUAUCUGUAUCCGUGUUUUGAGUAUUUUGUUAGUGAUGAGUGAGGAGUUCUGUAUCGCUUCCUACUUGUACCUCCCUGGGUGGUUGAGUUCUGUAUCCUUUGAGGUAGCAGAGAGGUUCUUUGGAAAAAAUAGAUAGCCUGACAAGGGAAUAACCGUUGUAUUGCGUAGUUGGGCACGCUUUCAUUUUUUCCUCUUUACCUGUUGAUUUGCAGGCCAUGCCGAAAAAGAGUGUGAGAGCGAAGAAGAAUGAGAUUGUAUUUGUUGCUCCAACAGGUGAGGAAAUCAGGAAUCGCAGGCAGUUGGAGAAGUACCUGAAAACACACGAUGGAAGUCCUGGUAUAUCAGAAUUUGAUUGGACUACUGGUGAGGCUCCAAGGAGAUCAGCACGGAUCAGUGAGAAGGUUAAGGCAAUGCCACCUGUGGCUGUGCUUGAGCCGACAAUGAAACGACGCCGUACAGCUACAAAAAAAGAUGAGGAUGUCGCAAGUGUAGAGAAGGAAAACAUGGGCAAGAAAGACAUGGAACCUGCCAUAGAAAAUAAGGAAGGUUUGGAGGAGGAGGAGAAUGAUGUAGAAGAUGAAGUGGUUGACAAGGGGAAGGACGAACAGACAGCCAAGGAAGUAGAAACAGAGUACAUAAAAGAAUUAGAGAUGUUUGAUGGAGAGGCUCCGAAGAGGCAGAAAUAUAAGGCCUGCAAUGACCCUCAAUCUGAGGAUGGGGGCAAACUAGCGGAAAACGUCACACAGGAGACUGCUGUAGAAGUUGAAAUGGAGAACAAGGAGGACGAGAUGGGGGCUAUUAAGGGAACUGCAGACCAUAAAAAAGAAAAGGAAAUGUCUGAUAGAGAGGUUUCAGAGAGAAAAAUUGAGGCCAGCAAUGACCCUCAAUCUGAGGAUGGGGGCAAACUGACGGAAAAUGUCGCGCGCGAGACUGCUGCAGAGGUUGAAAUGGAGAACACGGAGCACGAGAUGGGGGCUAAUAAGGAAGCUGCAGACCACAAAAAAGGAGAGGAAAUGUCUGAUAGAGAGGUUUCAGAGAGGAAAAUUGAGGCCAGCAAUGAAACUCAGUCUCAGGUUGAGGAUGGAGGUGAAAUGGCUGAAAAUGGUAGAGGGGUGACGAUCGCAAUUGAUGCCAACAUCUGGAAUGAUUCGAUGGGACAGGACUAUUUCAUGGGAAUGUUUCCAGAUGCUGUAAUUGAAGAAACAAAUGUUGCUGAAGCAGGAGCAGAAGUUGGG